UAUCUCUGUAGAGUCUGCAUAUCAAUAAGCGGAGGAAAAGAAACUAACAAGGAUUCCCCUAGUAACGGCGAGUGAAGCGGGAAGAGCUCAAAUUUGAAAUCUUAAAGGGUUUCCCUUUACGAAUUGUAGUUUAAAGAAGUGUUUUCUGUUGAGGUUUUGGUAAAAGUUCUUUGGAAUAGGACAUCAUAGAGGGUGAGAAUCCCGUAUUUGACCUCUACUUUCAACUUUGUGAUACACUUUCAAAGAGUCGGAUUGUUUGGGAAUGCAGUCCAAAAUGGGUGGUAAAUUUCAUCUAAGGCUAAAUAUUGGCGAGAGACCGAUAGCGAACAAGUACCGUGAGGGAAAGAUGAAAAGAACUUUGAAAAGAGAGUUAAACAGUACGUGAAAUUGUCAAAAGGGAAGCGUUUGACACCAGUGUUGUUUUUCUGAGAAUCAAUUAAAGAACUGUUUAUGCUAAGUUGUUUAGACUUUAUCAGCUAACUGUUUAGUUUUGAGCUUUUCUUUAAUGCACUUUUCAGUUAACAAGUCAACAUCAAUUUCUUUUGCUGUAAAAAAGCUUGAGGAAGGUGGCUUGAGAUUCGUCUUAAGUGUUUAUAGCCUCUUGCCUAUGCAGUCGGAGAGAUUGAGGUCUGCAGCGUAGAUCCUUCGGGGUUAGAUACAUUUGUGCUAAGUUAUAGCCUUUCAGUAGACAACUUGUUGACUACGAUCAGUCAUGUAGCUUACUCGCUUAUGCUAUUUUACCUACGCUUAGGAUGUUGACGAUCAGCUGAGCGCG
This 775-nucleotide ribosomal RNA is filed under the name uncultured Neocallimastigales. Its description in RNAcentral is "partial large subunit ribosomal RNA". It matches the Rfam family "Eukaryotic large subunit ribosomal RNA", at positions 24 to 635 of the family's 3401-position model. Lineage: Eukaryota; Fungi; Neocallimastigomycota; Neocallimastigomycetes; Neocallimastigales. The record is from RNAcentral.